Molecule: ribosomal RNA, 207 nt
Filed under: uncultured bacterium
Lineage: Bacteria
Description: partial 16S ribosomal RNA
Rfam family: Bacterial small subunit ribosomal RNA
Source: RNAcentral
UGCGCAGGCGGUUUUGUAAGCCAGAUGUGAAAUCCCCGGGCUCAACCUGGGAAUGGCAUUUGGGACUGCAAGGCUGGAGUGCGGCAGAGGAGACUGGAAUUCCCGGUGUAGCAGUGAAAUGCGUAGAUAUCGGGAGGAAUACCGAUGGCGAAGGCAGGUCUCUGGGCUGACACUGACGCUCAUGCACGAAAGCGUGGGGAGCAAACA